RNAcentral lists this ribosomal RNA (686 nucleotides) under uncultured Lachnospiraceae bacterium. RNAcentral's name for it is "bacterial SSU rRNA". It matches the Rfam family "Bacterial small subunit ribosomal RNA", at positions 67 to 766 of the family's 1533-position model. The record is from RNAcentral. Lineage: Bacteria; Bacillati; Bacillota; Clostridia; Lachnospirales; Lachnospiraceae.
CGGAUUUCUUCGGAUUGAAGCAAUUGUGACUGAGCGGCGGACGGGUGAGUAACGCGUGGGUAACCUGCCUCAUACAGGGGGAUAACAGUUGGAAACGGCUGCUAAUACCGCAUAAGCGCACAGUACCGCAUGGUACCGUGUGAAAAACUCCGGUGGUAUGAGAUGGACCCGCGUCUGAUUAGCUAGUUGGUGGGGUAACGGCCUACCAAGGCGACGAUCAGUAGCCGACCUGAGAGGGUGACCGGCCACAUUGGGACUGAGACACGGCCCAAACUCCUACGGGAGGCAGCAGUGGGGAAUAUUGCACAAUGGGGGAAACCCUGAUGCAGCGACGCCGCGUGAGCGAUGAAGUAUUUCGGUAUGUAAAGCUCUAUCAGCAGGGAAGAAAAUGACGGUACCUGACUAAGAAGCCCUGGCUAACUACGUGCCAGCAGCCGCGGUAAUACGUAGGGGGCAAGCGUUAUCCGGAUUUACUGGGUGUAAAGGGAGCGUAGACGGCAUGGCAAGCCAGAUGUGAAAGCCCGGGGCUCAACCCCGGGACUGCAUUUGGAACUGUCAGGCUAGAGUGUCGGAGAGGAAAGCGGAAUUCCUAGUGUAGCGGUGAAAUGCGUAGAUAUUAGGAGGAACACCAGUGGCGAAGGCGGCUUUCUGGACGAUGACUGACGUUGAGGCUCGAAAGCGUGGGG